CGAGGCGUUGAUGCUCGCAGGCGAUGCCUGACGGUUUUGGAUACCGUCGGACGGGAGUUCGAACCUUAUGGCCUCGA
RNAcentral lists this transfer RNA (77 nucleotides) under Paracoccus caeni. RNAcentral describes it as "tRNA-Pro". Lineage: Bacteria; Pseudomonadati; Pseudomonadota; Alphaproteobacteria; Rhodobacterales; Paracoccaceae. The record is from RNAcentral.